RNAcentral lists this ribosomal RNA (460 nucleotides) under uncultured bacterium. RNAcentral's name for it is "partial 16S ribosomal RNA". It matches the Rfam family "Bacterial small subunit ribosomal RNA", at positions 338 to 795 of the family's 1533-position model. The record is from RNAcentral.
CCUACGGGAGGCAGCAGUGAGGAAUAUUGGUCAAUGGACGAGAGUCUGAACCAGCCAAGUAGCGUGAAGGAUGACUGCCCUAUGGGUUGUACACUUCUUUUAUAAAGGAAUAAAACGAGGCACGUGUGCCUUUUUGCAUGUACUUUAUGAAUAAGGAUCGGCUAACUCCGUGCCAGCAGCCGCGGUAAUACGGAGGAUCCGAGCGUUAUCCGGAUUUAUUGGGUUUAAAGGGGGCGUAGAUGGGUUGUUAAGUCAGUUGUGAAAGUUUGCGGCUCAACCGUAAGAUUGCAAUUGUUACUGGCAGUCUUGAGUGCAGUAGAGGUAGGCGGAAUUCGUGGUGUAGCGGUGAAAUGCUUAGAUACCACGAAGAACCCCGAUUGCGAAGGCAGCUUACUAAACUGUGACUGACAUUGAUGCUCGAAAGUGUGGGUAUCAAACAGGAUUAGAUACCCUUGUAGUC